UACGUAGGGGGCAAGCGUUGUCCGGAUUUACUGGGCGUAAAGGGCGCGUAGGCGGGUGACCAAGUCCGGGGUGAAAUCUUUCGGCUUAACCGGAAAAGUGCCUUGGAUACUGGUCGCCUGGAGGGAGGUAGGGGCAUGUGGAACUUCCGGUGGAGCGGUGAAAUGCGUUGAUAUCGGAAGGAACGCCGGUGGCGAAAGCGACGUGCUGGCCCUCUUCUGACGCUGAGGCGCGAAAGCCAGGGGAGCAAACGGG
This 253-nucleotide ribosomal RNA is filed under the name uncultured bacterium. Its description in RNAcentral is "partial 16S ribosomal RNA". It matches the Rfam family "Bacterial small subunit ribosomal RNA", at positions 524 to 776 of the family's 1533-position model. The record is from RNAcentral.